GAAAAGUCGUAACAGGUUCCGUAGGUGAACCUGCGGAAGGAUCAUUAU
Molecule: ribosomal RNA, 48 nt
Filed under: Lentinula edodes (shiitake mushroom)
Lineage: Eukaryota; Fungi; Basidiomycota; Agaricomycetes; Agaricales; Omphalotaceae
Description: partial 18S rRNA
Source: RNAcentral